Molecule: long non-coding RNA, 358 nt
Filed under: Phoenix dactylifera (date palm)
Lineage: Eukaryota; Viridiplantae; Streptophyta; Magnoliopsida; Arecales; Arecaceae
Description: long non-coding RNA (PDAC_LNC014811)
Source: RNAcentral
ACCCAUAUGGUUAGAGACCAUGUAUGUGUGCAGUCAAACUACAAUAACCUCACUGUGAGUAGCCGAGGCACCGCAAGUCAAAGGACCAGUCACACUACUGCAACAUCAAGCAAGUCACUGACGAGUGGAUAGACAUCCAAGUGACUUCUUGUCUUGGUCACGCUCAGUACCCUUGUUCUCUAACAAGCACCUGCACUAUCACUUCAGUGUCCCUACACUGUGGACUCAAGUCUCAUCCAUCCAGAAGGAAAGUGAUCUGUGCACUGAUCGGAUCGAUCAUCGUCCUCGUGAUGAUCCAUUGAUCAGGAGCAUUUAGAAAUUAAUCACAAAUGAUACAUGGCUCAAAUUCUCAACUCUU